RNAcentral lists this long non-coding RNA (1492 nucleotides) under Triticum aestivum (bread wheat). RNAcentral's name for it is "long non-coding RNA (TAES_LNC001513)". The record is from RNAcentral. Lineage: Eukaryota; Viridiplantae; Streptophyta; Magnoliopsida; Poales; Poaceae.
GCAAGGAGUAUAUACAUACUAUUUUUUCAAAUGGGAUAUAUACAACUAUUCUCAGAGUAUAUGCCUAUGAUACUGGCAAUAACGAUCAGUGUAUACUCAUUGUCACAAAGGAGUGUAUGGUGUGUUUUCUUUUCAAAUGAUAGUAUACUAUUUUUCGCAAAGGGGUAUAGAAGAGAGGGCCUUUCUGUAUGGUGUGUUUCAGUAUCGAUCAACAGUAUAUGUUUCUUUCUGUCUUGUCGUACAUAUACUUCACUGCUGAGGAGAAAGUAUACACCAAAAAAAUUAAGUACUGAACCAAGGGAAACCUGUGAGGAGAAGCAUGCAUGCAUCCGGUGAGAAAAAGUAAAAGUGAUAAAAAGUAGUAUAUACUUGAACAAAAGUAGUAUAUACUAUAUUAUCUGAAAAAGUAAGAAGAAUGAAUUUCAAAUACUCGUGGCAAUUUAAAUGAUAGACAAAAGUAGUCUUUGAUGACAGAUGCAAAUUGAUGACACUGCAGUAUGUACCUCAGGUCAGACAAAGUUCCGGCGAACAGUCGAGUACGAGAAGUGUACAGCCACGCGAGGUCGGAAACGUGAGGCGCAACGAUAAGCCAAAAAACUUCAUAUUAUCCAACCUUGCAUUAGAAUCCAAAAGGGUUCAGUGAUGUGUGCCUCUCUCUCUGCUCUCUCUGUUCCUCUCAUAUUUCUCCUUUUUUCUCACCAAAAUACAACGCAAGAGAACAUAUGAUAUACGUCCAUCCGUCGUGAAAAUGACAAUGCUCUAUUUAUAAUUGACACAUUGUUAUGAGUCCAAACUAAAUAAGGUCUCGUCAAUUCUGGGAUUAAGAAAUUGGAAGCACCUUAUAUAUUUGUUCUAUAUUGCAAAAACAACACUGCUUCAUUUGACAGGACUACAACACUCAGCCGUAGAGAGAAAAGGUUGCCAAACCUGAGGAUUAAACCGCAGCCUCCAUGGAUGAAAGUGGAAUUGGACAGUCAGCUUAAGUGCUGGGGUAGCCGGGUGGUACUGUCCCUAGAUCGUUCCCUUAGCUCAAACAUACUGGCUUUUGCGUCGUCGAUGUCGUGUUGUAACUCAGCACUUGCACCUGCCGGUCAGAAAAAUAUUCGCUAAUAUCAAGAACUCAAUCCACAAAGACUGGUUGAACCAACAAUUGAGUCAGUGGUGAAGUAGAUUACCAAAAGAACAAAUAAGAGAACAUGUAUAGCAUUUCCGGAGCAUGUGUUUAACGCUACAAACCUGGGUUUUUUAAAAGAUUGUUCAUGGCCUCCCCUGCUAGCCGAUAAACAUCUAAUGAACGGUCAAAAUGGGUGUGGAUGGCCCUGGGUACAUGAGGUGCGUAAGACCUAAAAAACAACAAUACAAAGUAUAUUGUAAAUUCUGUCAGAACUUGAUUUCACCAUAAAAAAACUCACAGCUAUGUUCAUUUCAGAAGAAAAAAAUAAGAACAUUCAAAUGUCCAGUUAAAUUUUGGGAAGAUGACAGUUGCUGGCAC